UUGCAGUUAAAAAGCUCGUAGUCGGAUUUCAGUAUUAGGCCCUUCCUCCAAUACGGUUGCUAGUGGUCUUUACUUCCUUAACAGAAUCUUUCAUCUCAUUAAUUUGGGGUGUUUGGGGCCUGUUUCUUUUACUUUGAGAAAAUUAGAGUGUUCAAAGCGGGUUUUCGCCUGGAUAUUACUCUUGGAAUAAUAAUAUAGGACUUUGGUUCUUUUUUGUUGGUGACUUAGAACCGAAGUAAUGAUUGAUAGCGACAGUUGGGGUCAUUCGUACUAUGAAGCGAGAGGUGAAAUUCAUGGACCUUUGUAUGACGAACUACUGCGAAAGCAUUUGACUAGGAUGUUCCCGUUGAUCAAGAACGAAAGUUGGGGGAUCGAAGACGAUCAGAUACCGUCGUAGUCUCAACCAUAAACUAUGCCAGCUAGGGAUUGGAGGAAGAUCAUUUUACGUCUCCUUCAGCACCUUAUGAGAAAUCAAAGCAUUUGGGUUCCGGGGGGAGUAUGGUCGCAAGGCUGAAACUUAAAGGAAUUGACGGGAGGGCACCACCAGGAGUGGAGC
Molecule: ribosomal RNA, 556 nt
Filed under: uncultured marine eukaryote
Lineage: Eukaryota
Description: SSU rRNA
Rfam family: Eukaryotic small subunit ribosomal RNA
Source: RNAcentral